RNAcentral lists this unclassified non-coding RNA (358 nucleotides) under soil metagenome. RNAcentral's name for it is "partial contains 5.8S ribosomal RNA, internal transcribed spacer 2, and large subunit ribosomal RNA". The stretch from base 1 to 120 matches the Rfam family "5.8S ribosomal RNA", at positions 35 to 154 of the family's 154-position model. The record is from RNAcentral.
GAUGAAGAACGCAGCGAAAUGCGAUAAGUAAUGUGAAUUGCAGAAUUCAGUGAAUCAUCGAAUCUUUGAACGCACAUUGCGCCCGUCAGUAUUCUGGCGGGCAUGCCUGUUCGAGCGUCAUUACGCCCCUCAAGUCCCCCGUGGACUUGGUGUUGGGGAUCGGCGAGGCUGGUUUUCCAGCACAGCCGUCCCUUAAAUUAAUUGGCGGUCUCGCCGUGGCCCUCCUCUGCGCAGUAGUAAAACACUCGCAACAGGAGCCCGGCGCGGUCCACUGCCGUAAAACCCCCCAACUUUUUAUAGUUGACCUCGAAUCAGGUAGGACUACCCGCUGAACUUAAGCAUAUCAAUAAGCGGAGGA